GCCUGGAUGGCUCAGUCGGUUGAGCAUCUGACUUUGGCUCAGGUCAUGAUCUCACAGUUCGUGGGUUCCAGCCCCACGCCGGGCU
RNAcentral lists this transfer RNA (85 nucleotides) under Felis catus (domestic cat). It matches the Rfam family "tRNA". Rfam says of the family: Transfer RNA (tRNA) molecules are approximately 80 nucleotides in length. Their secondary structure includes four short double-helical elements and three loops (D, anti-codon, and T loops). Further hydrogen bonds mediate the characteristic L-shaped molecular structure. tRNAs have two regions of fundamental functional importance: the anti-codon, which is responsible for specific mRNA codon recognition, and the 3' end, to which the tRNAs corresponding amino acid is attached (by aminoacyl-tRNA synthetases). tRNAs cope with the degeneracy of the genetic code in two manners: having more than one tRNA (with a specific anti-codon) for a particular amino acid; and 'wobble' base-pairing, i.e. permitting non-standard base-pairing at the 3rd anti-codon position. The record is from Rfam by way of RNAcentral. Lineage: Eukaryota; Metazoa; Chordata; Mammalia; Carnivora; Felidae.